AACAGUUGUUUUGACCUCAUGGAGAGCAGCCAAAAAUAGGGGAUGGUACUUUUUCAGUGAGUCCAUUUUGAUUGCAGGUCUGAAAGCAGCUUUUCAAAAUGGCAGGUGAGGUGGUUUAUGCUGAGGUACCACCCAAGGAAAGAGUACAUUUCACUUCAGAAACUUCAGAUACAGCAGGUGAUCCAAUCACAUAUGCUGAGGUGAAGGUGGAAUGGAGAUCUGACAGACCUGACAGCACAUCCAAAAUUACACAUUCAGUGACCUGCUUGGAGAACUCACACUGGUGUUAUGUUGUUUUCGCUCUGGUCUUCACUGCAGUGAUUCUGUUCAUCACUGUCAUCCUCUUGGCAGUGAAAUGUCCCAGCCUCUCAGGUGGACGCUGACGUCUUGUUGACACACAGGAUAACUCAGCCCAGGAGGGUUCUGCUUGUUCAACAGAACAGGACAUAAUGCUUGUUUUCUUUUACAUGAUUUUCUCUGAAGAGACUUGUAUGAAAGAAGACGUGCCAUCAGUCCAAUCACUCUUCAGUUAUGUCAUCCCAGAUCUCUGUUAAACCUCUAACCUCUCCAUAUCUGGGCAAGACAUAUAUUAACUUUAUUUGGAGUUUUCUUAAACCUAUAAUACCAGCAACCAUCCAAUUAUAUCAAUGUGUGUAGCAAGGCCUGGGUUCAAGCUGCUGCAUCAAAAGUUGGAUUUGGGUCUUGUUUAGACUACAAAAAUGACCCGAUGGACUGCUUGGAGACCUACAUUUAAUUUACAUCUGAUUUGAUUCUGCAAUACUUUGCAAUACAGAUAAGCUUUUAGAUUGCAUUAUGUGCAAGUGCAAAAAUUCAUGGACAAAACAGGGAAUGUCAAAGGUUGCACUGAUCUUUUUUAUAAAGCCCAGGUUUAGACUUGAUUUUUCUUCCCUUGACAGCCUUCAGUGAUAUUUGUAUGAGAGGGCUAUUGAAGAUGCAAGAAACUAUAUUCAUUUAGUAGAGAGGUCUCAGUCUCAUCCCUUCAUUGGCUUGAAUAAAAUUAUUCUGUUCUAUUUGUCCA
This 1039-nucleotide long non-coding RNA is filed under the name Manacus vitellinus (golden-collared manakin). Its description in RNAcentral is "lncRNA (ENSMVIG00005019968.1)". The record is from RNAcentral. Lineage: Eukaryota; Metazoa; Chordata; Aves; Passeriformes; Pipridae.